Long non-coding RNA from Hippocampus zosterae (dwarf seahorse), 1412 nucleotides. RefSeq lists it as uncharacterized. Lineage: Eukaryota; Metazoa; Chordata; Actinopteri; Syngnathiformes; Syngnathidae. The record is from RefSeq and is a predicted model, not a curated record. The transcript is spliced from 2 exons.
UGUGGGAUGUCGUGCACGUUUUGAGCAUAAUGUCGCUGAUCUUUGAUUCUCUCUUCUUUGAUCUAUAACUGAUUUAAAAACAAGGUGCUUGCAGGAGUAGCUGUUAUAACUAUCUGUGUUUUAUGUUAUGUGUUAUGUUGUAUUUGAUUUUAUGUUAACUUUUCUGCGACCCUUGUGAGGAUAAGCAGAUCACAAAAUCAAUGUAUGGAUUGAUGGAUGUUAACCGUUCUGUAAAGCGCAUUGUUAACAGCUUCAGCUGACGUGAAAGCGCUAUACAAAUAAAGAUGCAUUGUAACUCUAUAGGGAGGGGGGCAGCUUUAUAUUAGCCAAUAUAUUAUCCAAAUCUUUAACAAAUUAUAAUUGUAUGACACACACUAAUGAUUAUAGUUUUGUAUUAGUCAAUGUGCCUGCUAUACAUUAAUCAGACAGUAAUGGAUCACACUUUUAUGGGCAUCACGCAUAUAAACAGUUAAUCGUUUCAUAUCAACAGCAUAUAGUAUAAAGCAGUAAUAGAAGGGAGAAACCUUUUUCUUCUCUGUGCUUCAGUGUGACCUGUCAACAGACACACCUGCAUCCACGUCGUCCUACACAUCCUACACGUCGUCUUUACACAUCCACAUAGUAUAACAAUGACAGUAAGAUAUCAACACAUGAGGAAAAAAAGUUUCAUACACGAACAUGACCUGGCCAAGACUAAAUACACGACAUGAACAAGGCUAAAAAGUACGCACUAGACUUGUGCUGGGAAUGAAAAUAGGGCCUGAUGACAUGAUACGCCUUCUCCUUUCCAGUGAAUGGGAUUAUCCGUUAGUCGCAAUGAAAUAAGUGCACACUAUGUUUUAGGCAAAAAAAACAACAACAACAUUGAACGUGGCAAAGAGGGCCCUGCACUGAUGGACUGAAUCUUGAUGGAGGCACGCAACAAUUGGGCGGGGUCUGACGCUUUGCAUCAGGCUGUUGUUGCUCUGUUCUGGCGUUGGCUACAGUCCACAGGAGCUGUGUUUGGGAUUUAGAAUAAAAGUGAGAUAAACGACUAUUGUCUGACGUGGGCGGUGCACGCAGCAGCUGGCUUGAGGACAACACCAUGAAAAGGGCGGGGGAGCCACACAGAGAGGCGGGUUUUAGAAUAAAUCGUCUUACUACAGAGGUUGGCGACUUUGAUGAUGAAAUUCGAAAAAAAUCUUUAAUGCUAACUUGUGAAACCUACCUGUUUCCCAACCCAUUCACUUGUUUAAUAUUCCACAGGCAUUUUUUGUUUUUUUUCUGUGUUUUUUACAAUUCUCAUCUUCCGCAGGAAAGUAUUUUGUUGCUCCCAGCUUUCAUGGAACCUUCCAAUAAAAUCAAAUUCAAAAUAUGUGAAUAUCUGGGGAAAAAACAAACAAACAAUAAAAUGUAUCAGUUUGAACAAUGAA